CCUACGGGUGGCUGCAGUGGGGAAUCUUCCGCAAUGGGCGCAAGCCUGACGGAGCAAUGCCGCGUGAACGAAGAAGGUCUUCGGAUUGUAAAGUUCUGUCCUUAUCGAAGAGAGGGCAUAGAGUGAAACAUGAUUUACUAGGCCGGUAGAUGAGGAGGAAGCCCCGGCUAACUACGUGCCCGCAGCCGGGGUAAUACGUAGGGGGCGAGCGUUGUCCGGAAUUACUGGGCGUAAAGGGCGCGUAGGCGGUAUUAUAAGUCAGUGGUGAAAGGUGGGGGCUCAACCCCUAAAGUGCAACUGAAACUGUAUAACUUGAGUGUGAGAGAGGAAAGCGGAAUUCCUAGUGUAGCGGUGAAAUGCGUAGAUAUUAGGAGGAACACCAGUGGCGAAGGCGGCUUUCUGGCUCAUAACUGACGCUGAGGCGCGAAAGCGUGGGUAGCAAACAGGAUUAGAUACCCGGGUAGUC
Molecule: ribosomal RNA, 466 nt
Filed under: uncultured bacterium
Lineage: Bacteria
Description: partial 16S ribosomal RNA
Rfam family: Bacterial small subunit ribosomal RNA
Source: RNAcentral